AUAGAACGCUGGCGGCAGGCCUAACACAUGCAAGUCGAGCGCGAAAGUCUUCGGAUGAGUAGAGCGGCGGACGGGUGAGUAACGCGUGGGAAUCUACCUGGUAGUGGGGGAUAACUCGGGGAAACUCGAGCUAAUACCGCAUACGUCCUGAGGGGGAAAGCGGGGGAUCGCAAGACCUCGUGCUAUCAGAUGAGCCUGCGUAGGAUUAGCUAGUUGGUAGGGUAAAGGCCUACCAAGGCGACGAUCCUUAGCUGGUCUGAGAGGAUGAUCAGCCCCACUGGGACUGAGACACGGCCCAGACUCCUACGGGAGGCAGCAGUGGGGAAUAUUGGACAAUGGGGGCAACCCUGAUCCAGCCAUGCCGCGUGUGUGAAGAAGGCCUUCGGGUUGUAAAGCACUUUCAGCGGGGAGGAAGGCGUCAUGACUAAUAUUCAUGGCGAUUGACGUUACCCGCAGAAGAAGCACCGGCUAACUCCGUGCCAGCAGCCGCCGUAA
RNAcentral lists this ribosomal RNA (495 nucleotides) under uncultured bacterium. Its description in RNAcentral is "partial 16S ribosomal RNA". It matches the Rfam family "Bacterial small subunit ribosomal RNA", at positions 31 to 523 of the family's 1533-position model. The record is from RNAcentral.